Non-coding RNA from Nicotiana tabacum (common tobacco), 1767 nucleotides. The record is from RefSeq and is a predicted model, not a curated record. Lineage: Eukaryota; Viridiplantae; Streptophyta; Magnoliopsida; Solanales; Solanaceae.
UCCGCUAUCAUUUCUUCAUAAGCUUCAUCUAUCGCCGGUUGUGCUUCUGCAAUUCCAAAGUUUCUUCUUUCCGAGCGAAUCCAAUCUCUAAACAGUACUAAUUUUUCCAAGCUAUCCCUCAUAGACGCUCUAUGAUCACCUAUUUGCAGUCUUGCUUGACUGAAAACGCUCUGUGAUGCAACAGUUGAAGCUUGAAUUGGAGCAAUAACUUGAUUGAAAAGAUUAGCUUUUUUUUGUAUUUGCAACGGAUUUCUUCUUCUUCGCCUUUUGUAUCAUUGGAGCAGAACUACUACUAUUUGCUAAUUUUACCUCAUUCCUCUUCUUCUGCGUCAUCGCUUCUCCUUUGAUUGAAAAGACUCAGUCUUUAUCGAUGAAAAUACCGUAAAUGAAAUGCUUGCUAGGGUUUGUCUCUCUCUACAUUUUCGGAGCUUGGGGUCGUUCGGGGGUAUUUAGGAAUAUUUUGGCAAAAGUCACGUGUUAACCCUACUUUAGCUCUGACACGUUUGCUUUACACCGCUCAAACGAACAUCUCAUUUCCACCCGAUUUGCAGUCUCUAUGCUCUGUUUCUUCCUCAAAUUUCCAAUGCUGCUCACCUCCUCUUCCAAUUUCCCUCAUCUCUUUUAGUCUUCUCUCUUCCUGGACAGUUUAUUCGCCUUGAUUGUACAGUUAUAAGGGUUUGUACUUGGUGCCUAUGCGUGUAUUGUAUCCGCUAUCGCGUUUCUGUAAGCAAAUGCAAACUACUACUACCUAUGAAAUGGUGAAAGGAUUAGUAUCACAACUAGGACCAACAAGAAAACAAAAGAAAAGUUGACGCCCGAGUAGAAAAGAUAGGUGCAUUGCAAAAAUUAUCGAUGGUAAUGCCAUCCAUAGAUAUUCUACAUUCCGCCCUGAGGAAAGCAAAGAGGGUUUCCCUUACAAAGGGUUGGUGGUUUGAGAAAGAUAGCGUAUUUAUUUUGGAUGAGGAGGGGCGAGCUGAAAAGCAGCAGUGCGAUGUUGCUGCUUCAAAAAUUCCCCACAACUUCUCUUUUAUGCCAGAUAAUGAAGUCAUCAUGCACCAGCAUAAACAUUGCUUAGGAACUCUAUUCCAAUGUCAGCCAAAUUAUGUUACAGUGCUUGCAUCCUAGCAUCAUGAAGGAUAUUGAAAAGCAUGGCUACACUGCACCGACUUCUAUUCAGGCUCAAUCCAUGCCAGUUGCUCUUAGUGGAAGAGAUCUCUUGGGUUGUGUUGAAACUGCAUUGUUUGGCUCAACAACCUCUUCAACGUGGUGAUGGACUUUUGGCAUUAGUGUUGGCGCCUACGAGAGAGCUUCCACAACAAAUAGAGAGAGGUACAACUCAUGACUUACAAUCUUUUGGUUGUGAAUGCCAUCUUUGCUUUUGACGGAGUUUAGCUGGAGCUCAUUGAAUAUAGCUGAGAUUGCAUUCUAGCUAAAACUGUACGUCCGGUCCUAUUCGAUUAAACUGUAUAAUUGGGGUAAAAUAGUUGGUCGAUGGUUUCUCUCUUUUGUAUAUACUUCACAAUCGCUAGAAUUAAUUUUCUGAGAUGGCUUUACCUGGGAUUUCGGAGAUGUUUGCAUAGUUUCGGCUGGUUUCUGAAUUUAGUUAACUUUUCCUUUUUCCUACUGUGGUUGUGAUAACGAAAAUUGAAUUUAUUAUUUGCACAUACCUAGAUUUUCUGUUUUAGGGUUCCUUUUCCUGUGGCAAGUUCUGUUGGAUUAGUAUUGUUUCAACUAGGUAAAGAAGUUGGUCUAUUAUUUUUUUCCUUU